RNAcentral lists this transfer RNA (70 nucleotides) under Dipodomys ordii (Ord's kangaroo rat). It matches the Rfam family "tRNA". From Rfam's summary of the family: Transfer RNA (tRNA) molecules are approximately 80 nucleotides in length. Their secondary structure includes four short double-helical elements and three loops (D, anti-codon, and T loops). The record is from Rfam by way of RNAcentral. Lineage: Eukaryota; Metazoa; Chordata; Mammalia; Rodentia; Heteromyidae.
GGGAAAGUGGCUCAGUGGUAGAGUGCUUGCCUAACAUGCAUGAAGCCCUGGGUUUGAUUCCUCUGUACCC